AGCGGGGUGAGGCAGCGGUAGCCUGACGGUCUCAUGAGCCGUAAUGCGGCGGUUCAAAUCCGCCCCCCGCAACCA
RNAcentral lists this transfer RNA (75 nucleotides) under Candidatus Zymogenaceae bacterium. RNAcentral describes it as "tRNA-Met". It matches the Rfam family "tRNA". Rfam says of the family: Transfer RNA (tRNA) molecules are approximately 80 nucleotides in length. The record is from RNAcentral. Lineage: Bacteria; Deltaproteobacteria; Candidatus Zymogeniales; Candidatus Zymogenaceae.